UCCCAACCCAGGGCUCGAACCCGGGUCUCCCGCAUUGUAGACAGAUGCUUUACUGUCUGAGCCACCAGGGAAGUCCUAAUUUCACUAUAGAUGUAUUAAUAUUCCAACUUACUGAAUUUGUUCAGCUGAUGCCAUCUGUGCUUCUGCUUCUUCCCUGUCCAAACCAAGAUUCUGACCUACCUUCACUCCUUCAGCCAAAGUGGACUGAGAGAGACAACCUGAAAUAUAUUUUAAGUAUUUCUAUUACUUCAGCAUAUGGCUGCAAAUGAUAGAGUGCACACAAAGUAUGAUUUUACAAAUGGCAUAAGUUACCAGAAGUAACAUAACAGUACUCUGCAUAAAUCUUGUUUCUUAGUGUACAAAAACCUGGUUAAAAGUAAGCCAGUGAGGUUAUAGUAGGCCAAAUGAUUUUAUAGAGUAAUUUUCUUACGAGUGCUGGACUCAUAUCAGCUUGAUUAGUCAAGGCCUGCAGAAGAAGCUGAUCUCAGAGAAGAACCUAAACUGUCGUUUAAAGGGGCUCACCUGAUUAAAUCAGGCCUACCCCUUAUUAUCUCCCUUUUAAUUGACCCAAAGCCAAACUGAUGAGUACAUUAUUAUACCUGCACUAUCCCUUCCUCUUUACCCUAUGCGUGCGUACCAAGUUGCCCCCAACUCUGUGUGACCCUGUAGGCAAUAGCCCACCAGGUUCCUCUAUCCAAGCAUGAAUACUGCAGUAGGUUGCCAUGCCCUCCUCCAGGGGAUCUUCCUGAUCCAGGGAUCGAACCCACAUCUCUCAAGUGUUUUGCAUUGGCAUGUGGAUUCUUUACCACUGGCGCCACCUGGGAAGCCUACUGUUUGGCCUAGUCACAGAGUGAUAUCCAUCAUGCUCAAAUAAUCCUGUCAACACUUGAGUAAAUGGAAUUAUAAAGGGUAUGUAUAUCAGGGAAUCUUGGAAGCCACCUUAAGAGUUCCUGUACCACAAAGAAAUAACUAGCAUUUAGAGCUGGAGCAAUUUAGAUGUGAUCACCUAACAUAUCACAAGCUUAUUUUUGGAUGAAGGUCCCCUGUGAGAAUCUAAUGAAAACUGCCCGAGCUUCCUUCCAGAAUACAUAUACAUACAGUUGGGAGCUCUGUGGGAGUCUGAAUUUCAAGAUAUGAUCUGUCCGAGUCCUGCCUUUCAGAUGAUGGACUUGCCAAGAGGUGACUUGACCAAGGUCACAACUACUAAGGGCUAGAUAAGACCCAGAUCUCAACUCUUAAAAUAGGGAGCUAUGCUUUCAAUUACUGCUGCAAAACUCAUUUAAAUUUGUGAGCCAAUGCAAAAAAGCAUUUAUGCAGCAUUUCUUAUUGUAGUUUGAGAAAUGACACACUAAUUUUACAGAAGCUUGUCUGUGAGUUUUGAAAUUACAGUUGACACUUUGAACACCAUGGACUUUGCAGGCCCACUUACAUGCCUUUUUUCCCCACUAAAUACGUACUUCAAGGUCAACUGUACUUUAAAUCAGCUGUCUCUAGAUUACUUGUAAUACCUAAUACAGUAUAACUGCUACGUAAAUAAUUGUUAAGUACACUGUAAAUACUGUGUAGCUAAUCCCUUGAAUACAGCUGAGGUUAGGGGCAGUGGCCCUCAUCGAUGGUUCUGCAUCCAAGGAUUCAACCAGCCACAGAUCAUGCAGUAUUACAGUGAAAACAAGUCCACGUGUAAGUGAACCCAUGUUAUUCAGGGGUCCACUGUAUUUUAUUUCUUUCUGAUUUUCCAAAAUUGAAUCUUUCAUUGUGGAUAUUAAGAAGGUGAACUAUAUAUAAACAGGCCAAUUUAGCUUGAAUUAGAGAAGUUACCAGUUGUGAACUCCUGAGGCCUAAUGGGUUAUUUAUCUCUUAAACAUGACGUUUUAAGCAUUUAAGGAGAAAAUGGUUUUUCAUUUUAGCAGACACAUUAAUGAAGUGUAUGCUUUUUAAAAAUAUGAGUAAUGAAAUUUAUAUGCCUUUAAAUAAAAUCAAAGUGCACAUUCAUAGUCUUACUGUAUUCAGUUAAUUCGUAAAUUAAGGUGAAAAGAAUGAAGAUUUAUAAAGCCUAUAUUCUGGUGUGAUCAGAAGCAACUGAACUGUAGUGUACAGUGAAUAUUAACUAUCGUAUCAAUGUACAGGAAGGUAGGUUUAAUGUUUUUUCUGUAAGACUUAACCUAGCAGUUUGAACAUGUCUUUAAAUUCAGGUUCUUUAAGUGACAAGUUUGGUUCAGGAUGUCCAUGUCAGGAUGUACUGUUUAUAAAGUUGACUUGACAGCUGCUACUUUGUGUAUAAGGGCAGGUGCUGCCCUGAAGAUCCUUUCAGAUUUACCUCUUAGAAGAGACCUGCACUCAUCGUUUAUGUUGUUGUCCCAAUUUCUGCCUUCACAAGUUUUGCAUCUUUGCAGCUCUAAAUAUGCUGCUUGCUCCAGGUUACUUAGUUUUUCCAAAGUGUCAAUUCUUCCAAGUUUAUUCUUCAUGAAGAAAAACUUUUAUAACUUUUUUGUUUCUAUUAUUCAAGCAUGAAUCCUGCUUUCCCUGACUAUAUCUUACCCUGAUUUGUAUAGCUCAUGGAUUCUUUGUAAGUCUGUGACCUUACCCAAGAUUUCCUCAUCUAUUUUUGCUCUUCUAACAACUGAUAAUCUGCUUAAAUCUACAUGCUGUUUGUUGCACUCAGUCUCCAGUUACCUGCCUUCCAGAUCAUUCCUUCAGUGUCCCAUCUUUCUAGUCCUCGGAUUUUUGAGCUUUUCAAGCCAUCUUUCCCCCAUACUUUGUACAUGGUUACCUUUUGACUGAUUUUAUAAUUGGCUAUUAUAAUGCUAAUAUCCAAACACUUGGACUCAGGAGGGUAUUUCUCUUACCUCAAAAAGGGGGACUUCCUGGGGGUUCGGUUCAGUCCCUGAUUAGGACUCAGCUUCCACUACAGGGAGCACAGAUUUCAACUCUAGUCAGAGAACUAAGAUCCCUCAUACUACACAGCCAGAAAAGAUCGUUUGGGGUCAUAAUUGGAUUUGGGAAGGAGUUGACAUAGUGGUGUUCUCCGCUGCCUUACUCCAUACUUGUUAUCUCUUAGGGGUUGUCCCCUUGUUCAACUCAUUAGCAGAGAACUUAUCCGUAAUACGUUAUGGGUAUUUUCUACUUCCAACCGCUUACCUUUGUACUUGCCUGUGUGCUCCCUCCAUAAACAAAUUAUACUUUGCCUCAAAUCUAGUAGCUCCCAGUGUGGUCUACAGGGUCCCCCACCUCUGUGUGUAUAAUUGGUACAGAGAAACUGGUUUUCACCUUUUUUUUUUUCUUUGAACCUGUUUAACAGGAUGGUAUAGGAAAGCUGUUAAAGAGCUCCUAUUAAAAUACCUAGAUGGUAACUUUGCUCCAGUCUGAGUCCGCUAGUGAUCAGAGGUGCUGAAAGAGACUGAAAAGUUUGUUUCCCUCUCAGCUCUGAUCCCACACAACUUUUGUGCAGUUCUCCCCAGCUGCAGAGAGUAAGGAAAGCUCAAAGUAGCAGAUAAGGAAGUGUCUUGUUUGGAUCCCUAUACCCCCAGCCACCUUACAUGUUAACAUUCAGAUGCCUGUCUCCUUCAGGAAGCCAAACACAUCCCAUACUGUCUACUACCCUCGCCAUCCCCAUCAGCUCUCACUUUACAGUGUGUGUUUCAUAUUUAUGGUAAUGUUUCAGUCUGUAGAGUCGGUUCCACUAAAUUGUAAGCUCCUUAAGGGCAAAGUCAACAGGUAAAGCUCUGUAAAUCCCAUGGAAGUGCCAUGAGUUCUGUGGGCACUCAAUAAAGGUUUGUGAUUACAAUGCAAC
RNAcentral lists this long non-coding RNA (3790 nucleotides) under Bos taurus (domestic cattle). RNAcentral's name for it is "long non-coding RNA NONBTAT027139". The record is from RNAcentral. Lineage: Eukaryota; Metazoa; Chordata; Mammalia; Artiodactyla; Bovidae.